RNAcentral lists this long non-coding RNA (510 nucleotides) under Mytilus galloprovincialis (Mediterranean mussel). Lineage: Eukaryota; Metazoa; Mollusca; Bivalvia; Mytilida; Mytilidae. The record is from RNAcentral.
CGAAUAAUAAGGUUUAUCACGUAUAAGAUAAACCAAUUUAAUGAAAGAGAUUUGAUUAAUAUAUUUAUUUUCCUUAAAUGACAUAUUUUAUCAUUCGGAUCCGGAUCUCGCUUCCGGCUUAUAAACAUCACGUGACUUCAGCCUCACAGUUGAACUAGCCGCUCUGGAUAAGUGAAAGUUUCAAAACCCACCCACCUCCCCUCACACUCUACCAACAAUUACUUGUGUCUGCUGCUGUUUUAUUCAUUUUUCAGGCUGUUCAGAGAGAAGCCUGAUACUUAAUACGUUGUUGGACAAAAUAAAGAUGACUAGACUAAGCCGAUGGAAUUGCUUGCUGAACAAACUUUUGAGAACUAUCGUAUUCUAAAUAUUCGAGUGAGUGUUAUACAGUUUUACCAGGACAAUCAGCCACCAGCAAUGUGAUUGGAACAAUCAGUAUGUUUAAGUUUAUCCACCUGGAACACAUAUAGAACUUUAAAUUUUUGUUAUGAACUUUCAGAGUUUAUAUCU